Phacochoerus africanus (Common warthog) is the source of this 2782-nucleotide long non-coding RNA. RefSeq lists it as uncharacterized. The record is from RefSeq and is a predicted model, not a curated record. NCBI's taxonomy places the organism in Eukaryota, Metazoa, Chordata, Mammalia, Artiodactyla, Suidae. The transcript is spliced from 6 exons.
CCCUCCUGAUGGUCUGCUCUCAGAUCCCUGCCCGUUGUCAGCUGAUUCCCACCAACAGCUGAGUGCCCGUACAACGGACGUUCACAGAAUGAUAAAUGCCAGGGCACUUAGAACCGCACAGACACGGGCCUCUAAUGCUUAUUAUCAAGAACUUGCCUUGUGACACAGACGGAAAACCACCCAGAUGGAGAAGGCUAGAUAAUUACGGCCAAAUCAUACCAAGAACCAUGUUUGAAAAGGCAAGCUGUUGAAUGUUUAGCUAGAAUCAGAGGGUCUCUCUCCUCUUUGACUAACAGGGAAGAUGAUGACAUCUUUGCCGAAACUACAGGACACGCUACGGCUGCGUGGUUGGGCAGACCAUAACCGAGCAGGCGCAUGCAAUGAAGGGCUGGCGGGGAGUCUCCCAGCAGUGCCUGGCACGCGGUAGACAUGCAGUGGGAUGUUGCUGAAAGGAUGAAUCAGCAGAGGGGUGACAGUCGAGGUCAGGAAAAUGGACAGGCGUCGCUUGCCCAACAGAGUGAAUUUAAGCCUGUGCAAGUAACAGAAAUAGAAUUAUCAUUCAUUCUGGAGACGCUGAGGAUGAUGCAUUGAAGGACGUGGGAUCCCUGCCCGGGCAGAGACAGCGGACCGUCUCGGCAGUGGCCAAUGUGAAGAGAAUGCUUAGGGGAGCAAGAGUGCGGAGCAUGAGGAACAGUCCAGAACCAGAAGCAGAGUUGCAGCCUUGUCCCCCAGAUAGACGCGGACCCCGCGCCUCUCACGGAAUUUUCCUGACCUCGUCCAGCACCCAGACACUUCACAGCGGGCCUGCCGUUUAGUCCUGGGUCUGAGUCUGUGCCUGGAGCCAGGUAACCGGAUCUGAUAGCCGCGGGAUUCUGCCUCAGAACGACGACUUUCCUGAACCGAUUCCCUGAUAAAGGGUGGAAUCCCUGAAAGCAAUCACUGAGAAGAGAAAAUGAUCCCGUCUGAGUUAGUUACCUCUCUGAUACUCUGGGAUGAUUCAAGAUUAAAAAUCAUAGGAGGAACUCAGCGGGAGGAAUCCCUCCAAAAGAAGAAGUAACAGAGCUCCUGGACUUGCCGAAGCCUUGGCUCCACCCAGGCUCAGCCGUCUAGUGUCUCGUCGUAGCAGUGUACUAAUCCUGUAACUGCCUUGGAAUUAACAUCAGGGCUAAAAGAACCAGAAGACCCAUGAAGGCGAGCACUGAAGUUUACACCUUGCUUCGACUCAGAUCUGAACUGGAAUCGCGGACCUUUGAAUCAGGGAAGUGGAAAAAAGGACUCAUAAUGAAAAGAAAUUGAGGAAGCGAAAUCUUCAGACUUGCCAUGUGGAAUGCGGACCAUGGGGGGAAAGUUGAAAUGGGUCCCACGUUGCUAGCCUGGGACGCUGCUUGGCGCUAUCAUUGAAGACACUUUCUGCCUCGAGUCACAGAACAUUAGGCAAAAAAAGGGAUUUAUUGCCUCAUGUCUGAAAAACCCUGGGUACAACCGGCUUUGGGGCCAACUCACUCCAGGGCCCAACCCAUGGCCAGGGCCCACGUCCGCCUCCUCUUGGCUCUGCUCUGCUUCAUGCUGACGCCUCACCGUCUCAGACUUCACGUGCCCUGUAGCGCCAGGCUUGUCCUCCCAGAGCCGGUGCAAUAAAUAGGUAAAUUAACAAUAACAUUCAUAGUCACCUUUGCUUCCAACCUAGGCAACCGCUCUUCCUUUCGGCAGGUACUGACACUUGUAAUUUCCCCAAGAGUGACAUAGGUAGGAAAACUGAGGCAGAUUAAGUACUAGCCCAAAGUUGCAAAGGAGAGACAGAGGCGGGAUCUGAGUGCCGGUGGGCUGGUUUCAAAGUCUGUGCUCCUGACAGUAACCUGCGGGGGAAUCCGAAGCACAGAGAAGUGCCGCUUCUGGAAGACAGCCACCGUCUUGGCGGUUCGAGCUGCAGUGCGUUCGUCCUGGGCUCCUGAGGCUGCAAGAGGGCGAUGCCUAAUUGUCCAGGCUGAAGUCACAUGCCCAUCCGGAGGUGGGCACGCAGAAAUGGAUUCCAGAACUCCGGGGCUGGGGGGUGGGGGUGGGGGUGGGGAGUGGCCCAGCGAAAGGAUAUCGAUACUCUCUUGAGAACAACCAGCGACACAAGAGCUCUCCGUCACAACGGAGAGAGAAGAUAAAGAAGAGGAAAGGGCUUUGGGGGGAAAUGAUGCGCUCAGUAUCAGAGAGCUAAAGUUUGACGUGCGAGAAAAGCAUCCGCGUGCAUGUGCGGCUCAUUGGACAUCUUGAUUGAUCCUUGGAACAAGAUGAUAAUAAAAAGCCGAAAAUAAAAUGAUAGCAGAGACCUACUGGGCAAAUGACAAUGAAAACUCUGCAGGCUAAAAGCACUUAGAGUAUGGAGAACAUCCUUAUAUAGUGAUAAACAACGCAAAUAAGAAAGAUGUAACUGUCUAAAAGUAGACAGCAAAGGACUUAGAAGCUAAAUACAUUUAGGCAAGGAAAACGUACAGCGUUAUAAUGAGAGAGUUCAAAAUACCUCUCACAAUGAGCCAGAAUUAGUAGUCAAAAAGUGACUCCUCAUGCUGUAGGCCUUAAACUUAUCCAGUGUUGUUUGUCAAUUUUAUCUCAGUAAAACUGGAGAAAAAAAAUCACUCAGUCCAACACAGUAAUACAGUGUUUUACUGGUCAAAACAUUAUUCAGAUGAUCAGACUAUUGUUAUAUCAAGUAACAAUAUAGUACAUAUAAGGGCUUCUUCCAUCCUACAAAUAAAGAAAAUUUUUUUUUCAUAAAAAUGAAAAAUUAUAGGAA